CUCGAUGUCGGCUCAUCGCAUCCUGGGGCUGGAGAAGGUCCCAAGGGUUUGGCUGUUCGCCAAUUAAAGCGGUACGUGAGCUGGGUUUAGAACGUCGUGAGACAGUUCGGUCCCUAUCUGUUGUGGGCGUAGGAUACUUGCGGGACUCUGCUCUUAGUACGAGAGGACCGGAGUGGACAGACCUCUGGUGCACCAGUUGUCUUGCCAAGGGCAUAGCUGGGUAGCCAAGUCUGGUGCGGAUAAGCGCUGAAAGCAUCUAAGCGCGAAACCCUGCCCAAGAUGAAGUAUCCCCUCGAGCACUAAUUUUAGUGCUUGGCUGAAGGCUCCUUCGAGACCAGGAGGUCGAUAGGCUGCAGGUGUAAGUCCAGCAAUGGAUUGAGCCGAGCAGUACUAAUAAGCCGUGCGUCUUGAUCUACA
RNAcentral lists this ribosomal RNA (417 nucleotides) under Caldithrix sp. Its description in RNAcentral is "partial 23S ribosomal RNA". It matches the Rfam family "Bacterial large subunit ribosomal RNA", at positions 2525 to 2925 of the family's 2925-position model. The record is from RNAcentral. Lineage: Bacteria; Pseudomonadati; Calditrichota; Calditrichia; Calditrichales; Calditrichaceae.